GUGUCAGCAGCCGCGGUAAUACAGAGGGUGCGAGCGUUGUCCGGAAUCACUGGGCGUAAAGGGCGCGUAGGCGGCUUGACAAGCGUGCGGUGAAAGCUCGGGGCUCAACCCCGAGUCGGCCGUGCGAACUGUCAGGCUUGAGCACAGUAGAGGCAGAUGGAAUUCCGGGUGUAGCGGUGGAAUGCGUAGAGAUCCGGAAGAACACCGGUGGCGAAGGCGGUCUGCUGGGCUGUGGCUGACGCUGAUGCGCGACAGCGUGGGGAGCAAACAGGAUUAGAUACCCCCGUAGUCC
Molecule: ribosomal RNA, 292 nt
Filed under: uncultured bacterium
Lineage: Bacteria
Description: partial 16S ribosomal RNA
Rfam family: Bacterial small subunit ribosomal RNA
Source: RNAcentral